CGUAAAUAACAUCAGAAGUUGGUGUACAUGUUCUAUAAUGUUGUUUAAUGAUUUCAUGUUCAUUUGUUGUGUUGCUAAAUAUUGUAUUUGUGUAAACCUGCAUCUGAUGAAGAGUGUGUGUCUGCGGCGCUGCACGUGUAUGUACUGUGAUGGGCACGCAGCGACUUCAUGCAGACACGUGUUUGUUUCCACAACUGCAGCAGAAACACAGAAAGACAGAUACCUGAUCGAGAAGAACACAGGUGCUCAAGUCUUGUGGUGCACAUGGAAGAUUCAUACAAAUGGAAAGCAGAUCCUCAGAAAUGGAUGUUGUCCCAGAAGCAAGCAUUGUAAAAGAUAAGCUUUACUCUGUCAAGGGAUGGGCAUAAUUAAUCGACCAUCGCUUAAUUGAUCAUUAUUUCUUCAUCAAGAAGAACAAACUGGAUUUUUCUGCAAUGGGAGAAAAAACUUCCCAGGUGGGGAUCAAACCUGUGAUGAACAAACCUGGAUAAAAACAAGAAAAAGUCAACGUCUGAUGUUGAGCGGCCAAUUGUUCAAUCCUUCCAUACAUUUUAUGCAGAGCUGAAUGGACCUGACUUUUUGACAGUCAUAUGAGAGACUAAGGAAUUUUGCCCAGCUGUCUUGUCACAUGUCUACACUCAAACAAAUCAGCAUUGAAGAAAUGCCACUGAGUCACGUGGAUGCAUCGGUUCAAAGCAUUCCGCUAACAAAGAAUAAACCCACAAGGACAUUACCAGUGUUGAACGGAGGGCUAUGCUUCCUCGAGUCAGCUGAUGAGGCCAGGCUGGAUUCUCUGGAAGUCAUCAGUGUCGACCAGUGUGACGACACAAAAACUGGAGGUUAUGAGCAAAGAUGAUAUCUGACAAAUUGAGUCCUACUUCUAUCGAGGUGGAAAGAUAGGUUGGAUGAACUUUUUGCUUGCUGACGAACAUGUGUGGGUCCAUUAUAAAGAGGGAUGCCUACGAACAAGUAAACACAGUCCUGGACCAGACAGUACAUCGUAGAAAUGCCAUCGAGAGAAUGAACAUAUUCCAUCAUCCUGGCAGUGGUGGAAGUACUGUGGCACGACAGAUCCUCUGGAGAUGGAGAGGAAAAAUACGAUGUGCAGUUGUUAGACAGAGCAAGGACGAUGAUCUGAUAUGUGUUACUGUGGUGUCCCAGAACCAAAAGAAAUUAGCUUGUUUGUCAAUAAGAGCGAGGUUUUGUGAUAAAAUUGUAAAUAUGAAAUGCAUAUAAAGUUUUUUGUCUUCAUCUCGAUGUGAACCAUAUUUUUUGCUGUGAAACUUACAAACUUUAAAUUUGGUUGUUUAAUAAUACAUUUAUAUUUGGCUUUUCGCUAAA
Long non-coding RNA from Limanda limanda (common dab), 1341 nucleotides. RefSeq lists it as uncharacterized. The record is from RefSeq and is a predicted model, not a curated record. The transcript has 4 exons. Lineage: Eukaryota; Metazoa; Chordata; Actinopteri; Pleuronectiformes; Pleuronectidae.